RNAcentral lists this transfer RNA (73 nucleotides) under Sphaerodactylus townsendi. RNAcentral's name for it is "tRNA-Ser". It matches the Rfam family "tRNA". From Rfam's summary of the family: Transfer RNA (tRNA) molecules are approximately 80 nucleotides in length. Their secondary structure includes four short double-helical elements and three loops (D, anti-codon, and T loops). Lineage: Eukaryota; Metazoa; Chordata; Lepidosauria; Squamata; Sphaerodactylidae. The record is from RNAcentral.
GGGGGCUGUGGCUCAGUAGCAGAACAUCUGCUUGGAGUGUGGAAGGGCCCAGGUUCAAUUCUUAGCAUUUCCA